This 500-nucleotide ribosomal RNA is filed under the name uncultured bacterium. RNAcentral's name for it is "partial 16S ribosomal RNA". It matches the Rfam family "Bacterial small subunit ribosomal RNA", at positions 29 to 523 of the family's 1533-position model. The record is from RNAcentral.
AUUGAACGCUGGCGGCAUGCCUUACACAUGCAAGUCGAACGGCAGCACGGGAGCAAUCCUGGUGGCGAGUGGCGAACGGGUGAGUAAAGUAUCGGAACGUGCCCAGUCGUGGGGGAUAACGUAGCGAAAGUUACGCUAAUACCGCAUACGAUCUAGGGAUGAAAGCGGGGGAUCGAAAGACCUCGCGCGAUUGGAGCGGCCGAUAUAAGAUUAGGUAGUUGGUGGGGUAAAGGCUCACCAAGCCGACGGUCUGUCGCGGGUCUGACAGGCAGACCGGCGAAACUGGGACUGAGACACGGCCCAGACUCCUACGGGAGGCAGCAGUGGGGAAUUUUGGACAAUGGGCGAAAGCCUGAUCCAGCCAGGCCGCGUGCAGGAUGAAGGCCUUCGGGUUGUAAACUGCUUUUGUACGGAACGAAAAGGUUUGGCCUAAUAAGCUGAGCUCAUGACGGUGCCGUAAGAAUAAGCACCGGCUAACUACGUGCCAGCAGCCGCCGUAA